Non-coding RNA from Pristionchus pacificus, 61 nucleotides. NCBI's taxonomy places the organism in Eukaryota, Metazoa, Nematoda, Chromadorea, Rhabditida, Neodiplogasteridae. The record is from Rfam.
UCUUCAUUUCUCACACUCUCGCACCGGUCAGAGAGGCGAGAGAGUGUGCGAAAUGAAGAGA